Molecule: ribosomal RNA, 253 nt
Filed under: Blautia luti
Lineage: Bacteria; Bacillati; Bacillota; Clostridia; Lachnospirales; Lachnospiraceae
Description: partial 16S ribosomal RNA
Rfam family: Bacterial small subunit ribosomal RNA
Source: RNAcentral
UACGUAGGGGGCAAGCGUUAUCCGGAUUUACUGGGUGUAAAGGGAGCGUAGACGGAUGGACAAGUCUGAUGUGAAAGGCUGGGGCUCAACCCCGGGACUGCAUUGGAAACUGCCCGUCUUGAGUGCCGGAGAGGUAAGCGGAAUUCCUAGUGUAGCAGUGAAAUGCGUAGAUAUUAGGAGGAACACCAGUGGCGAAGGCGGCUUACUGGACGGUAACUGACGUUGAGGCUCGAAAGCGUGGGGAGCAAACAGG